RNAcentral lists this ribosomal RNA (51 nucleotides) under Symbiodinium sp. qd2. RNAcentral's name for it is "partial 28S ribosomal RNA". The record is from RNAcentral. Lineage: Eukaryota; Dinophyceae; Suessiales; Symbiodiniaceae.
CUUAGCAUGAAGUCAGGCAAGCAAACCCGCUGAAUUUAAGCAUAUAAGUAA